This 504-nucleotide long non-coding RNA is filed under the name Vigna radiata. Its description in RNAcentral is "long non-coding RNA (VRAD_LNC012865)". The record is from RNAcentral. Lineage: Eukaryota; Viridiplantae; Streptophyta; Magnoliopsida; Fabales; Fabaceae.
CACAAUCAAACAUACUCGCAAGCAGGUUAUCAUCACAAGGGUUUUUCAUGGCUUGUAACUUGGCUGGGCUAAGAAGGAAAUUGGUUUUUUUGGUUAGUAAAGUUCCUUGAGUUAAGAGAGACAUUUAUGAAUUCAUCUUUUAAGAACAACUCCCUUUUCUUUUUCCCAGCUUUCCCUUGCAGUGAGCUUUUUCUUUUUGAAUAUUUCUUUUUCUCACUUUUUGUUUUCCUUUUUGCCUUUUUCUUGCUUUUUCUUUUGAUUGCUCACUGCCUAGAGAGGUGGGUUGUUUCCUGGUAACCGCAAACUUGAACCUUUAUCAGUACCUCAUCAAAUGUUCUCAGCUUAACUCAAGGUAAAGAUUUUUCAAAAAGGAUUUUCAAGACAUAUCAGGCUCAAGGUUCAAAGGUUAGAAAAAAUUGUUCUCUUUUCAGUGGGCAAAAAAUAUUUUGAAGGCCAAAAGAAUAAGGAAUAACAAAAGAUGGCCUUGGUCAUAAGAAACCUGCA